UGGGGAAUAUUGGACAAUGGGCGAAAGCCUGAUCCAGCCAUGCCGCGUGGAUGAUGAAGGCCUUAGGGUUGUAAAGUCCUUUCGGCGGGGAAGAUAAUGACGGUACCCGCAGAAGAAGCCCCGGCUAACUUCGUGCCAGCAGCCGCGGUAAUACGAAGGGGGCUAGCGUUGCUCGGAAUCACUGGGCGCAAAGCGCACGUAGGCGGCUUCUUAAGUCAGGGGUGAAAUCCUGGAGCUCAACUCCAGAACUGCCUCUGAUACUGAGGAGCUUGAGUCCGGGAGAGGUGAGUGGAACUCCGAGUGUAGAGGUGAAAUUCGUAGAUAUUCGGAAGAACACCAGUGGCGAAGGCGGCUCACUGGCCCGGUACUGACGCUGAGGUGCGAAAGCGUGGGGAGCAAACAGGAUUAGAUACCCCUGUAGUCCCUGAGCGGGCUGGCAAGGCGCAU
RNAcentral lists this ribosomal RNA (447 nucleotides) under uncultured bacterium. RNAcentral describes it as "bacterial SSU rRNA". It matches the Rfam family "Bacterial small subunit ribosomal RNA", at positions 355 to 825 of the family's 1533-position model. The record is from RNAcentral.